This is a long non-coding RNA of Lontra canadensis (Northern American river otter), 96 nucleotides long. RefSeq lists it as uncharacterized. NCBI's taxonomy places the organism in Eukaryota, Metazoa, Chordata, Mammalia, Carnivora, Mustelidae. The record is from RefSeq and is a predicted model, not a curated record. The transcript has 3 exons.
CAAAGGAAGAAAGGCAGAGAGGCAGAGAGAAAGAAAGGCAGAGAGAGGGAACAAAAUCACUAAGACAUGUUAUGUAAUGCUAAAUGGUACAGCUAA